This 474-nucleotide ribosomal RNA is filed under the name uncultured Sphingobacteriales bacterium. RNAcentral's name for it is "bacterial SSU rRNA". It matches the Rfam family "Bacterial small subunit ribosomal RNA", at positions 907 to 1382 of the family's 1533-position model. Lineage: Bacteria; Pseudomonadati; Bacteroidota; Sphingobacteriia; Sphingobacteriales. The record is from RNAcentral.
UGAAUUGACGGGGCCCGCACAAGCGGUGGAGCAUGUGGUUUAAUUCGAUGAUACGCGAGGAACCUUACCUGGGCUCGAACGUAAGAUGACUGUAGGUGAAAGCUUACAUCUCUUCGGAGCAUUUUACGAGGUGCUGCAUGGUUGUCGUCAGCUCGUGCCGUGAGGUGUCGGGUUAAGUCCCAUAACGAGCGCAACCCCUACCUUUAGUUGCCAUCAGGUUAAGCUGGGGACUCUAAAGGAACUGCCUACGCAAGUAGUGAGGAAGCGGGGAUGACGUCAAAUCAGCACGGCCCUUACGUCCAGGGCUACACACGUGCUACAAUGGCCGAUACAGAGGGCAGCUACCUGGUGACAGGAUGCAAAUCUCCAAAGUCGGUCUCAGUUCGGAUCGGAGUCUGCAACCCGACUCCGUGAAGUUGGAUUCGCUAGUAAUCGCGCAUCAGCCAUGGCGCGGUGAAUACGUUCCCGGGCCUU